Homo sapiens (human) is the source of this 1354-nucleotide long non-coding RNA. The record is from Ensembl. Lineage: Eukaryota; Metazoa; Chordata; Mammalia; Primates; Hominidae.
AGAGACAACUGGACAUUUGAGUCCUACAGGGAAAAGGAACCCCAAACCAUCCGUGCAUGCAUAUGUGGGGUGGGGGUGAUGGGUGGAAUAUUUAAUCAGUGUUUGUAAAAGUUGAAUUUAUAGGUUCUUUUACAAGAAAGAAUAGAGCUGCUUGGAGCUAAAUACCCCGAAGCAAAUAACCUACUGGAGAUGAGUAGAAGCUCUCUGCUGUAGAUGGGGUUUUCCUUCAUCCUGUCUACAUCAGAUUUUUGUCAUUUGCCUCACAUCUAUAGCCUUUGGACUUCUCAUCUCUGCCAAAGAAACGUGGGCCAGAUGCUCCUUGAAGAAAGACUGCGACUGUGCAUGUCAACCACUACUUCUCAUACUGAAGCCUAGGAAGAAAUGUCAGAACUGGCCAGGGGAAGCUGACACCCUGCGAAAUACACCCAGAUCCUGCUUUCCUAGGACAGAAAAAAUGACCUCUGGCCUCUCUUUGCAAACUUUAGUUAAGAGUUGGGAGUAAGAGAUUCUUGACCACCAAGAAAGCAUUCUUCCUAUUCAGAGGAUGAAAUGUUCAAGUCAUCAUCUUUGAAGGAGAAACCAGACCCUCACCAGAUGAUGAACCUUCCAGCACCUUGAUCUUGGAUUUCCCAAACUCCAGAAUUUAUCUGGAAGAGCAACAGAAGGAAGCAUUCAAAACAAUUCCUACCUAAUUGACCUCUGAGGUUGAUGCAGUUGUACGUGGCAAGGAUGUACAGGUUGUUUUGUUUUGUUUUGUUUUACGAUUUUAAGUAUUUCAUUGAAUGGAAUGUUUGGAUUCAUUUAUUUAUUAAUGCAAGAAAUGUUUAUUUCACUCUUACUUUGUUUCACCUGCCUUGUGCUAGCCAUUCCCUAAUGAUGAAUUGAUAUGGUUUCUGUCACCAAGGAGCUCACAACCUCUUGAAGGAGCAAAACAUAACAGGAUCAUUAUAACAUAGUGUGAGCUCAUUUGAUAGAGACAUGCUUAGAGAGCUAUAUGAGCACAGAAGAGAGAUUAAUUCUCCAUGCUUCCCAUGACCGGGCACCAUUUCAGUAAUAGCUUAUGGACAAUAUACCUGAGUUUCUCAGUAUUGAGAUGAUAGUUUUAAACUAGUAAUGUUGUAAGAGAUAUGAGGAACAGUGAAUGAAACUUUACAAAAUGAAAUGGGUGUCUGUAGGGCCUGUGAGGAACUGCUGAUUUAAGGCUAAGGGAGGAUGUCUUCAUGCUCAAUGCUCAGAUCAUUAUCAGAGACAAAGAAAUAAGGCAAGAGAGCAGAUUUGAUGUAGUUAAUUGGAUGAGGGAGCAAGCCAGAACUCUGUUGGAAGGCUGAGUUAUGAUAGCCAACAAAGGAGAAAU